RNAcentral lists this transfer RNA (71 nucleotides) under Marmota monax (woodchuck). It matches the Rfam family "tRNA". From Rfam's summary of the family: Transfer RNA (tRNA) molecules are approximately 80 nucleotides in length. Their secondary structure includes four short double-helical elements and three loops (D, anti-codon, and T loops). Further hydrogen bonds mediate the characteristic L-shaped molecular structure. tRNAs have two regions of fundamental functional importance: the anti-codon, which is responsible for specific mRNA codon recognition, and the 3' end, to which the tRNAs corresponding amino acid is attached (by aminoacyl-tRNA synthetases). tRNAs cope with the degeneracy of the genetic code in two manners: having more than one tRNA (with a specific anti-codon) for a particular amino acid; and 'wobble' base-pairing, i.e. permitting non-standard base-pairing at the 3rd anti-codon position. Lineage: Eukaryota; Metazoa; Chordata; Mammalia; Rodentia; Sciuridae. The record is from Rfam by way of RNAcentral.
GGGAUUGUGGCUCAAUGGUAGAGCACUCGCCUAACAUGUGUGGGGCCCUGGGUUCAAUCCUCAGAAUCACA